UACGGGAGGCAGCAGUGGGGAAUAUUGCACAAUGGGCGAAAGCCUGAUGCAGCUAUGCCGCGUGUAUGAAGAAGGCCUUAGGGUUGUAAAGUACUUUCAUCGGGGAGGAAAAAACAAAACUAAUAAUUUUAUUUCUUGACGUUACCCGAAAAAGAAGCACCGGCUAACUCCGUGCCAGCAGCCGCGGUAAUACGGAGGGUGCUAGCGUUAAUCAGAAUUACUGGGCGUAAAGAGCACGUAGGUGGUUUUUUUAAGUCAGAUGUGAAAUCCCUGGGCUUAACCUAGGAACUGCAUUUUGAAACUGAAAUACUAGAGUAUCGUAGAGGGAGGUAGAAUUCUAGGUGUAGCGGUGAAAUGCGUAGAUAUCUGGAGGAAUACCUGUGGCGAAAGCGGCCUCCUAAACGAAUACUGACACUGGAGUGACGAAGCGGUGGGAGCAAACGAGGUAUUAGACUACCCUCGUGACGUACGUCGACCGGAAGGCCAACAACGGAGGGGUAGUAGG
RNAcentral lists this ribosomal RNA (505 nucleotides) under uncultured bacterium. RNAcentral describes it as "bacterial SSU rRNA". It matches the Rfam family "Bacterial small subunit ribosomal RNA", at positions 340 to 834 of the family's 1533-position model. The record is from RNAcentral.